GGAAGUGUGUCCGAGCGGCCUAAGGAGCAUGGCUGGAAUCCAUGUAGGCGGGGUAACUCGUCUCGCAGGUUCAAAUCCUGUCACUUCCGCCA
This 92-nucleotide transfer RNA is filed under the name Microbacterium sp. RNAcentral's name for it is "tRNA-Ser". It matches the Rfam family "tRNA". Rfam says of the family: Transfer RNA (tRNA) molecules are approximately 80 nucleotides in length. The record is from RNAcentral. Lineage: Bacteria; Bacillati; Actinomycetota; Actinomycetes; Micrococcales; Microbacteriaceae. RNAcentral also lists the same sequence under 2 other names.